RNAcentral lists this long non-coding RNA (750 nucleotides) under Marmota monax (woodchuck). Lineage: Eukaryota; Metazoa; Chordata; Mammalia; Rodentia; Sciuridae. The record is from RNAcentral.
CAAGCAAGGAAGCAGGUCCUCUCUGGGAGAAUCUUCUGGCUCUAUGAUAUCAGACCUCCAGCUUCCAGGAUUAUGAGAAUUACAUUUCUGUUGUUUAUAAGCCACUCGGUCUAUGGCAGUUUGUUAGGGCAGCAGGACCUGACCAACCCACCUUGUCAUUCUCCUGAGCCCCGACUCUGGACCUGCUGAACCCCUCUAAGUUAUCUGAAUGCUGUGCACCUGCUCUGCUCUGAGCUUUGACAAAACUAUUCCUUCUUUAUCUUCUUGGUCUGAUGAAUAUCUCCUCCUUAUCCGAAGCUCUUUUCUGAUGCCACCUCCUCUGGAAGCCUAUCUAAUCUCUUGCCUCAGCUAAUGACCCUUUUUGCUACUUGUCCAGCAACCUGUGCCUGUCUUUAUAGUCAUAGCUCUUCUGCCAUGUUGUCAUCGCUGGGUUCAAGGGACAGUGCCUCCAUUAGCUUGUGAGCUCUUAAAGGCAAAAGCUUCUCUCCCUCUUGUAUCCUUAGGAAUAUAAUGUGGAUAAUAAAAUUGUUCCUCAGUUGAAGAAGAGCAAUUCUACAAAUCCAAAGCAGAUUUUUUUUUUUUUGCCUCAUUAAGGCAUUAAGGUAUUUGACAGGCCUAGAGACAGCAUAUAGCGUUGAGUAUUUUAGUAUGAAAGGAAUAAAAAGAAAAACAAAAACAAAAACAAAAAACACUUGGGUAUGUUAAAAAGGGUAGGAUCCUCUUCAGGAUUUAGGAAGGGUCUGCUUUGAC